Molecule: ribosomal RNA, 1707 nt
Filed under: Janthinobacterium sp. TND4EL3
Lineage: Bacteria; Pseudomonadati; Pseudomonadota; Betaproteobacteria; Burkholderiales; Oxalobacteraceae
Description: bacterial LSU rRNA
Rfam family: Bacterial large subunit ribosomal RNA
Source: RNAcentral
AGAUAUGGUAGGAGAGCGUUCUGUAAGCCUGCGAAGGUGUCUUGUAAAGGAUGCUGGAGGUAUCAGAAGUGCGAAUGCUGACAUGAGUAGCGAUAAUGGGGGUGAAAAGCCUCCACGCCGUAAGCCCAAGGUUUCCUGUUCAACGUUCAUCGGAGCAGGGUGAGUCGGCCCCUAAGGCGAGGCAGAGAUGCGUAGCUGAUGGGAAGCAGGUUAAUAUUCCUGCACCGUCGUAUGAUGCGAUGGGGGGACGGAUCGCGGAAGGUUGUCUGACUGUUGGAAUAGUCAGUUUCUGUCUCAUAGAAGGCGCUUAGGCAAAUCCGGGCGCGGAAUUCAAGGGGAUGGGACGAGUGAACUUGUUCACGAAGCAAUCGGAAGUGGUUCCAAGAAAAGCCUCUAAGCUUCAGUCAUACGAGACCGUACCGCAAACCGACACAGGUGGGCGAGAUGAGUAUUCUAAGGCGCUUGAGAGAACUCGGGAGAAGGAACUCGGCAAAUUGGUACCGUAACUUCGGGAAAAGGUACGCCCCGGUAGCUUGAUUGGUUUACUCCAUGAGGGUGAAAGGGUUGCAAUAAACUGGUGGCUGCGACUGUUUAAUAAAAACACAGCACUCUGCAAACACGAAAGUGGACGUAUAGGGUGUGACGCCUGCCCGGUGCUGGAAGAUUAAAUGAUGGGGUGCAAGCUCUUGAUUGAAGUCCCAGUAAACGGCGGCCGUAACUAUAACGGUCCUAAGGUAGCGAAAUUCCUUGUCGGGUAAGUUCCGACCUGCACGAAUGGCGUAACGAUGGCCACACUGUCUCCUCCCGAGACUCAGCGAAGUUGAAAUGUUUGUGAUGAUGCAAUCUACCCGCGGCUAGACGGAAAGACCCCAUGAACCUUUACUGUAGCUUUGCAUUGGACUUUGAACCAAUCUGUGUAGGAUAGGUGGGAGGCUUUGAAGCGGGGACGCUAGUUCUCGUGGAGCCAACCUUGAAAUACCACCCUGGUUUGUUUGAGGUUCUAACCUUGGUCCGUUAUCCGGAUCGGGGACAGUGCAUGGUAGGCAGUUUGACUGGGGCGGUCUCCUCCUAAAGUGUAACGGAGGAGUUCGAAGGUACGCUAGAUACGGUCGGACAUCGUGUUGAUAGUGCAAUGGCAUAAGCGUGCUUAACUGCGAGACUGACAAGUCGAGCAGGUACGAAAGUAGGACAUAGUGAUCCGGUGGUUCUGUAUGGAAGGGCCAUCGCUCAACGGAUAAAAGGUACUCUGGGGAUAACAGGCUGAUUCCUCCCAAGAGUUCAUAUCGACGGGGGAGUUUGGCACCUCGAUGUCGGCUCAUCACAUCCUGGGGCUGUAGCCGGUCCCAAGGGUAUGGCUGUUCGCCAUUUAAAGUGGUACGUGAGCUGGGUUUAAAACGUCGUGAGACAGUUUGGUCCCUAUCUGCCGUGGGCGUUGGAAAUUUGAAGGGGGCUGCUCCUAGUACGAGAGGACCGGAGUGGACGAACCUCUGGUGUACCGGUUGUCACGCCAGUGGCAUUGCCGGGUAGCUAAGUUCGGAAGAGAUAACCGCUGAAAGCAUCUAAGCGGGAAACUUGCCUUGAGAUGAGAUUUCCCAGAGCCUUGAGCUCUUUGAAGGGUCGUUCGAGACCAGGACGUUGAUAGGCUGGGUGUGGAAGUGCAGUAAUGCAUUAAGCUAACCAGUACUAAUUGCCCGUACGGCUUGUCCC